RNAcentral lists this ribosomal RNA (446 nucleotides) under uncultured bacterium. RNAcentral describes it as "partial 16S ribosomal RNA". It matches the Rfam family "Bacterial small subunit ribosomal RNA", at positions 29 to 523 of the family's 1533-position model. The record is from RNAcentral.
AACGAACGCUGGCGGCAGGCUUAACACAUGCAAGUCGAACGCCCCGCAAGGGGAGUGGCAGACGGGUGAGUAACGCGUGGGAACGUGCCCUUCGCUUCGGAAUAGUCCCGGGAAACUGGGUUUAAUACCGGAUACGCCGUAUUGGGAAAGAUUUAUCGGCGAAGGAUCGGCCCGCGUUAGAUUAGGUAGUUGGCGGUGUAAUGGACCACCAAGCCUACGAUCUAUAGCUGGUCUGAGAGGAUGAUCAGCCACACUGGGACUGAGACACGGCCCAGACUCCUACGGGAGGCAGCAGUGGGGAAUCUUGGACAAUGGGCGCAAGCCUGAUCCAGCCAUGCCGCGUGAGUGAAGAAGGCCUUAGGGUUGUAAAACUCUUUCGCCGGAGAAGAUAAUGACGGUAUCCGGAGAAGAAGCCCCGGCUAACUUCGUGCCAGCCGCCGCGGUAA